This 1683-nucleotide long non-coding RNA is filed under the name Mus caroli (Ryukyu mouse). RNAcentral's name for it is "lncRNA (MGP_CAROLIEiJ_G0003394.1)". Lineage: Eukaryota; Metazoa; Chordata; Mammalia; Rodentia; Muridae. The record is from RNAcentral.
AAUUAUCCAGUGCUUCCUCCACCCUUAAGGAUCCCCUUUUCGUCCUAUCCGCCGUCAAACACAGGACUCAGUGCAGGGAGCGGCCCCCGCACCCCGAGGGCACUACUGGGGGCGGAGAGUUAAAAACACGGAGAGGAGGACGCUCCGGAGAAGAGGGGAGCAUGGCGGGCAUGAGGUACUGAGUGAAAAGGGGGAUGGCGAGGGAAACGGGGAGCGAGGGAGGGGAGAAAGAGUAAAAAGCGAAGACACGAAGGGACACCAGCCGGGUCGCGCGAGGCCUAAGUGAAAGACCAGGGCGCGCGCGCGGGGGGGAGGGGAAGAGGUGAAGGGGAGCGCGAGGCGGGGGCGCGCAGGCCGGGCUGGGGGAGGGGACGCCAGGCGGGGGCGCGCGGGCGGGCGUCGGCUCGCGGGCGCUUCCCCUCCCCCCGCCCUCCACCUUUCCCCUCCCCCACCGCCGCCUUCUCGCAGCCUCGCUCCCUCCGUCUCUCCUCACCGCCCCCGGGCGGGCUGGCGGGCUGGCGGCCAGGCUGGCCUAGGCCAGAGCUCCUCACCUGGCAGCGACGGCGGAACUCCCGACCAGGUCGCUUCCUCAGGCGGCCGUGAAGGCGUCGAAAAAGGAGGCGGCGACGGCACAGUGGGAUCCAGACCCCACUGGCGGGUCCGGGAGCGGGGGUGGGGGAGGGGGCGGGCCGGGUCGGGGAGGGCGGGCGGGCGGAGCAGACACUGCGGUACAGACAGGGGCAGCAGCGGCGGCGGCGGCUGCACCGGCGGCGGCGGCACCACACAAACAAGGACGCUGAUUGGGCAGCUGCCAAGCGCCUUGACUCCGCCUUAACCACACGCCACGACGACCAUUGGAGGAACUUAGCCGGCUACCCGCCCUCCUCUUCUUGCUCCUACCAAUUGAAAGCGGGAUAGCGAGACUUCACCCCACCCUUGAGGAGUGGGUGGCUGGAGAAGUAGUGAUUGGCGUCAAGAAAAUCCAAUCAUAAAUGGAGAAGGGGGAUGGUCUAGCGGGGGCGCGUUAAUGGGUACCUCGGCCAGUCCCAGACACAUCCGGGUCUUCGACAGCCCAUUAAGUGUCGGGGGUCAAAAAAUCGCUUCAGGCUGCAGCUUUACCUUAUAGACGUUUUGGUCCCCUGGCAGCCGCCGUACCACCUAGUCUCUUAAAACCGGGAUUCUCCUUUGACAGGCUCUCAUUCUUUCACGUCUAAAGAUGGAGACUGAGAACGGCGCUGGUCUCUGUGUUUGGGUGGGUGGUGUUUCAUCGCGACAGAAUCCAUGAAUUUAGGGACAGGACUAGCUUUAGGAGCUCUGCCUUGUCUUUCUGGGGUGUGGCCUGCCCCGUUCUGCCCAAGGCCUUGGGACUCGUAUGUUAAUUUACUUCUGAUGGGUCCUUUCCUGGUUGUAUCAUAACAGCCGAAAGAAAAAACAAACAAUUAGCUAAAUGUACUGAAUUUAUGGUGUUCAUAGUGUAUACUCUGGGAUCUGGUCUUUUUCUGUUCACAGUGAGGAUAUAGCUUCCCACCCCACCCUAUUGCACUAGCCAAGUCAAGGCCCGGCUUCUUUUGCUAGCCUGGCUAUCUCCUACUUCCUCGAAGCGGUUAGGCCCGCCUACAUUCUACGUUUCUAGAACACCAUGAAUAUUCUUUCUGAGCGCCCAAGAGAUGAGAACUAAUUAUC